GAAGCACUUCUGGAUGGAUGCCUGGCCGUAUUUCCCAGGCUUAAAGUUGGUUGAACGAGUCAAAUGGACAACAUUUGUCCACCGCUGCAGAGCGUCUAAUCGCAUGGGAUUGUACAUCCGCGUCCUGUUCCUCCUCAUUUCCGGCUUGGUUUGAAUCUGCGAAACAAUUUUGAUCCUCCUUGAAUCGUGUCCCUUACCGCCUUGGCUGUUUCGAAAACGUAAUUGGCAUACGCUUUCAUCACAACAGCUGUUGAGUUUGACUUGGCGUUGAUCAGAGUCGAGUACGGAAGUCCCAGUCCGGAUUGAUCCAACUAAUACAUUAAUGUCCUUCCAGUCGAGAUAAUUGUACACUUCAAAGAGAAAACUUUCUCCAAAGUUCUUCCGGAUGGAUAAGCUCACUGAUCUCCAAUCGAACUGGUCGGCCGUCCAGUUUGACACGGUCAUCGGCCACCGACCGUACGAAUCCAGAAUUUCAGUCAACGGUGUCAAUCCCAAAAUUUCAAUCGCAUCCGUGUCCAUACAAGCCAUGUACAUAUCUCGUGAAUUAUUCACCGGUUUCGAAUCCCGCAUCGCAUUCGGCUCGGUUAAAACUUCUGUUUAGUGUUUCGGCAUUUUAAUUAUUAAGCGAUAAGACGAGGAGAUCAGUUUUCUAAAAUACCUUUAAGUAAGUGAGUGACUUGUUCCCUUAAAAUAUUGAAAUGGCCCCAGCGGGAACUUGUUUCGGGAAUGCUGUUCUUACGAAGCCAACCUCCGCAGGUGAACUGGUAAAAAUCCUGACAAGGAUCGACGGAUGGAUCCAUGGCUUCCAUCAAAGCAGCGGCUGAACCGGCAUAAUAUUAAUUAAUUAUAAUAAAACAUUCAAUAGUUUGAAUAGAUUUACCUGAGACGACGCAUUCCUUGGUGUUGCAAAUGGGAUCUUUCUGUUUAAGGCCAUCGAUCGUUUGUUGAGCACUUCCCAGCUCUUCGAUCACAGCGUCCAAUUGUUUGAUGGAUUGGCUAACUGUUUUUAAGAAUUUUGACUGAGAUCAAACAAGAAAUUCUAACUUGAUUGAGUCACUGAACCUUGAUAGCUUAAAAGUCCAGUGGCCACCAUAAAAACUCCGGCAACAACGACAGCUAUCCGCACGAACCAGCGAGAUUUUAUCGGGCUGUGUGUUGUCCAAAAUCGAAAAUGAACUUUUGCAAUCCAUCUGUCAAACAAGUAAUUAUACGUACGUAUUAAUAUUCGCUGGGGAUAGAGUCUCUGUCGAUGUGACGACGAAUGAAUCCGCCAUUGUUCAAUCCUACAGAAGUGAAUAUCAAAAGUUGUAUUUUUCAAUUUUUAGCGAAUUGUGGUAGCUCGUCUCCGUUUUUUCUUCCUUGAAGAAUGACAAUUUUCUUGCAAGUUACUGAUUGUUAAAUACAGGGAAUACUGUACAUGAUGUACAAAGGGGUCUGCGGAGCAAGAUAUGUGUUUAUAUAAAGGAACGUGACCUGGAAUUAUUUCCCCUAGUAUCGACGGGCUACACCAAAUGAAGCACACUUAACGUCUCGAAUGACAAUCACCAGCAGUCUAAACUCUCUUCCGUGGAUUAUAUUUCUUUUGUUCAAGGGUCGAACAAUAUGUUCUUGGCGUCCGCAUCAGAUUGGAAAGUUCAUCUUUUAUGGCAAUCGUCAACAAUGAUCAUCAUUAUGUCGCUUUUCCUACACGAUUCUUUCAGAAUGUCGCCCUAUAGUUUGCUCGUUCAGUUCUACAUCAAAGAAAAUUAAAUAACGAGAAACGCUUCGUUCGUCAAUGAGCA
This 1781-nucleotide long non-coding RNA is filed under the name Daphnia pulicaria. RNAcentral's name for it is "uncharacterized LOC124341570". Lineage: Eukaryota; Metazoa; Arthropoda; Branchiopoda; Diplostraca; Daphniidae. The record is from RNAcentral.